UGGGGAAUAUUGCACAAUGGGCGAAAGCCUGAUGCAGCAACGCCGCGUGAGUGAUGAAGGUCUUCGGAUUGUAAAGCUCUGUCUUUUGGGACGAUAAUGACGGUACCAAAGGAGGAAGCCACGGCUAACUACGUGCCAGCAGCCGCGGUAAUACGUAGGUGGCGAGCGUUGUCCGGAUUUACUGGGCGUAAAGGGUGCGUAGGCGGAUGUUUAAGUGAGAUGUGAAAUACCCGGGCUUAACUUGGGUGCUGCAUUUCAAACUGGAUAUCUAGAGUGCAGGAGAGGAGAAUGGAAUUCCUAGUGUAGCGGUGAAAUGCGUAGAGAUUAGGAAGAACACCAGUGGCGAAGGCGAUUCUCUGGACUGUAACUGACGCUGAGGCACGAAAGCGUGGGUAGCAAACAGGAUUAGAUACCCUGGUAGUCCACGCCGUAAACGAUGAGUACUAGGUGUAGGAGGUAUCGACCCCUUCUGUGCCGCAGUAAACACAUU
This 490-nucleotide ribosomal RNA is filed under the name uncultured bacterium. RNAcentral describes it as "partial 16S ribosomal RNA". It matches the Rfam family "Bacterial small subunit ribosomal RNA", at positions 355 to 861 of the family's 1533-position model. The record is from RNAcentral.